GUAUGAAAAUUAAGCAAAUAAAUCAAUGCAGAGAGGCUCCAUAUCAGUUGGUAGAACAAGAGGCAUAUUUUACACCUAUUGGCAAACAAGAGUUGCUUUAUCAGCUUGAAAUCAGUUCCUGUUUUUGUCUGCAAAUAAAUAAGUCUUUAAAGGAGUAUUGUGAAGUUUCUGUUGAGUCAUUCUAAAGGUGAACCCAUCUGCAGUGGAGGGCGAACUCCUUAGAUCUAAGUCCGGCUUCAUAGAGCCUUGACAAAGAGCACUGGGGAUGGAGCUGGAAGGAUAGAUGGAUUGCAGAUGGCCAUAGGAGAUACGAGCCAAUACUCACCCCACCAUUCCAAAGAAGGUGCAGGUGAAGCAAUCAGGCAUACUCAAUAAUAAAGUGACUUAUCAACUGGGGUCGAGGGACUCAAAUUCAGCCAGACAUUCUCCGUCGAACAGCAAGUGGAGUUUGAAGGCCAGAGAUUCAAUGUACCCAACUGCUGAAACAAGCUACAAGAAGCUGAAGGUCAUUUCUGUAGAUAAUCAACCAACCCAGAAUCCACAGCUGACAAUGACAUUCAAUGAUAUGAAAUUGGUUUUAAGGAAGAUGUUGAGGCAAAACACCUCUCUCUUGGAAUUCACUCGAGCAGACUUCAUAGUUGCAGGAAAUAGCAAUUAGCUUAUGCAAUCUAGACAACAGCUUAGCUCCUUUAAACAGGUAAAAGAUACCGAUUAUUCCUCUAGUUUUCGCAACAAGAAAGCAUCCACCAACUUUAACCAAAGUUGAUAAGCAUAAAGUCCAGAUAUGCCUAAAACUUAAAAAUCUCUAGUCUUUUACUACAGAAUUAUGCUGUUAUGCAUAGAAUUAAGGGGGACCAUACCACAAACAGGCUCAGUAGUUUCCUGCUUCGAAGGGGAAAGUAAAGAAUCCCAGAGAAACUAAAACUGAAAUAUUGAUUAAAAAAGUAGUUAUAAUAAUCAAAGUCUUGCUACAUAAACAAAACGAAAGACAGUUUCAUCGUUGGAUUAAACAAAUAUUAGAACUAAGAGUCCUUUUUUUUUUCCAGCAUGAAAUAACAUAAUCAACUGACAGAA
Cucurbita maxima (winter squash) is the source of this 1074-nucleotide long non-coding RNA. RefSeq lists it as uncharacterized. Lineage: Eukaryota; Viridiplantae; Streptophyta; Magnoliopsida; Cucurbitales; Cucurbitaceae. The record is from RefSeq and is a predicted model, not a curated record. The transcript has 2 exons.